This 342-nucleotide ribosomal RNA is filed under the name uncultured Prevotella sp. RNAcentral's name for it is "partial 16S ribosomal RNA". The record is from RNAcentral. Lineage: Bacteria; Pseudomonadati; Bacteroidota; Bacteroidia; Bacteroidales; Prevotellaceae.
GGAGUCUGGACCGUGUCUCAGUUCCAGUGUGGGGGACCUUCCUCUCAGAACCCCUAAGGAUCGACGGCUCGGUGGGCCGUUACCCCGCCGACUACCUAAUCCUACGCAUCCCCAUCCUGAGGCGAUCAAUCUUUCGUCACGCCCAGAUGCCUUUUCGUGACAACAUAGGGUAUUAAUCCGGUUUUCACCGGGCUGUCCCCUACCUCAGGGAAGGUUGGAUACGCGUUACUCACCCGUGCGCCGGUCGCCAUCGGAGAUAGCAAGCUACCUCCAUGCUGCCCCUCCGACUUGCAUGUGUUAAGCCUGUAGCUAGCGUUCAUCCUGAGCCACUGAUCAAACUCU